AGAUUGAACGCUGGCGGCAUGCUUUACACAUGCAAGUCGAACGGUAACAGGCCGCAAGGUGCUGACGAGUGGCGAACGGGUGAGUAAUGUAUCGGAACGUGCCCAGUCGUGGGGGAUAACGCAGCGAAAGCUGCGCUAAUACCGCAUACGAUCUAUGGAUGAAAGCGGGGGACCGUAAGGCCUCGCGCGAUUGGAGCGGCCGAUAUCAGAUUAGGUAGUUGGUGGGGUAAAGGCUCACCAAGCCAACGAUCUGUAGCUGGUCUGAGAGGACGACCAGCCACACUGGGACUGAGACACGGCCCAGACUCCUACGGGAGGCAGCAGUGGGGAAUUUUGGACAAUGGGCGCAAGCCUGAUCCAGCAAUGCCGCGUGCAGGAAGAAGGCCUUCGG
RNAcentral lists this ribosomal RNA (391 nucleotides) under uncultured soil bacterium. Its description in RNAcentral is "bacterial SSU rRNA". It matches the Rfam family "Bacterial small subunit ribosomal RNA", at positions 26 to 421 of the family's 1533-position model. The record is from RNAcentral.